Molecule: long non-coding RNA, 1207 nt
Filed under: Manacus vitellinus (golden-collared manakin)
Lineage: Eukaryota; Metazoa; Chordata; Aves; Passeriformes; Pipridae
Description: lncRNA (ENSMVIG00005001355.1)
Source: RNAcentral
AACCUGAGCCAUGUGCAUGGAUGGCUCUUGUGCACUCAUAUUCCUUCUGUCAGCUGCUUAUAGGGGUUGAAAACCUUCAGAAGGCAGAUACAAGUGAUAUGAAAUAGCCUGAGUUAAAAACUCGACUCUGAGUCAAAAACUCAGCAUCAAAAAUUGUGAGAUACCCCAUGAUACUGCAUGCCACACGUAGAGUAAUGGGAAAGCUUAAACGGCUUCUGCCUCAGGCAGAAUGCAACAGAAAACCUGACAGGGAAAGGUAAGAUGGUAGCGGUGAAAGCAGCCAGGAUUGCGUGGUGAUUGCUGCAUGGGAGGUUGCAGCCAAGACUCUAAAAUGACUUAAACCACUGCUGUAUACUUUUGGAUUUGUUUCUUCUUUUCUUAUGUUUUGGAGGAGAAGAGGGUGUGUCUGGAAGUUCAGAUGCUAGCUUGGGACUUAGGCCAUAUUUAUCCAGGUUUCUGCCUUGCCAGUUACUCCCUUCGCAGUUCCUGAGGGAGAACAGACUGCAUUGUUUGUGAGCUUCAAUCCAGGUCAAGUAGGCCGGAUCUUCCACAGAGAAGUUGCUGACUUUGGCCCCAAAAAAUCAUUGUUAAGGAGCCAGCAGAGGCAACCCAGCUCCCAGGUCCCCCAGGAACCUCAUGGGACUGGCAAGAAAAGAAAAAAACACCUCAGGUGUGUUGGCCCCAGAAGAGGAGUUUUCAGCACGUAAUAUGUGGCCACACUGCCUGGCCUGUUUCCCAGCACUUAGUGAAAGCAUUGCAGGCAGCAAAGGCAUCGCUGUGCUUUUACGAGAAAAAUCAAGAGCGCAAGAGCACAUUUUGAAGUGAAGGCACAUUGUCAAUAAUUAUGCACGGUUUGGGUUUGUGCUGCGUCGCCACUCAUCCUUGGAUCCUACACCGAGUCCUGACUUUCUUAUGGCACAGAUAAUUACUUAAAAGAAAGAAACCCAACAGAAUUUCCACGAUCUAUAUCUACAGCCUCACACAUGGAAGACAUAACAUUUGAUGGUAAAUUUUUGCUUUGACGUUAUAGUAGAAGUUAAGGGAAAAGGUGUCAUCCUUGGCCCAGAGUUUCAUAAGUGCCACAGGCAGAUGGGCUCUUUUAAACCUUCUUCUCCUCUUCCAAAAGGAGAAACUCACAAUCUGGACUCAAUUGAACCUUAAAGCCAUAAAAUUCCAGGUUCCAAUAAAUCUUCAUUUUAUAAAAACA